GGAACGGGGGCUUUCUGUCGGUACGUCAAACAGCAAGGUAUUAACUUACUGCCCUUCCUCCCAACUUAAAGUGCUUUACAAUCCGAAGACCUUCUUCACACACGCGGCAUGGCUGGAUCAGGCUUUCCCCCAUUGUCCAAUAUUCCCCACUGCUGCCUCCCGUAG
This 165-nucleotide ribosomal RNA is filed under the name uncultured Pseudomonas sp. RNAcentral's name for it is "partial 16S ribosomal RNA". The record is from RNAcentral. Lineage: Bacteria; Pseudomonadati; Pseudomonadota; Gammaproteobacteria; Pseudomonadales; Pseudomonadaceae.